AAGACGGUCCUAUGGAUUGUAAACCUCUUUUGUCGGGGAGCAAAGCGCGGUACGAGUACCGCGAAGAAGAGUACCCGAAGAAAAAGCAUCGGCUAACUCCGUGCCAGCAGCGGCGGUAAUACGGAGGAUGCGAGCGUUAUCCGGAUUUAUUGGGUUUAAAGGGUGCGUAGGCGGAUUUGUAAGUCAGCGGUAAAAAUGCGGUGCUCAACGCCGUAUCGCCGUUGAAACUGCAGGUCUUGAGUGAGCGAGAAGUAUGCGGAAUGCGUGGUGUAGCGGUGAAAUGCAUAGAUAUCACGCAGAACUCCGAUUGUGAAGGCAGCAUACCGGCGCUCAACUGACGCUGAGGCACGAAAGCGUGGGGACCGAACAGGAUUAGAUACCCUGGUAGUCCACGCAGUAAACGAUGAAUGCUAACUGUCCGGUCCGCUUAAGGGCUGGGUGGUACAGC
RNAcentral lists this ribosomal RNA (448 nucleotides) under uncultured bacterium. RNAcentral describes it as "bacterial SSU rRNA". It matches the Rfam family "Bacterial small subunit ribosomal RNA", at positions 408 to 852 of the family's 1533-position model. The record is from RNAcentral.